CCUACAUAGCGGGUGGGACCCACGGCGAAUGGUUCAUCAAGUCUUCAAAAAAGAAUAUAUACGAUUCGAUUGCAUAUACUAACGGAUGCGAUCAUACCAGCACUAAUGCACCGGAUCCCAUCAGAACUCCGCAGUUAAGCGUGCUUGGGCGAGAGUAGUACUAGGAUGGGUGACCUCCCGGGAAGUCCUCGUGUUGCAUCCCUCUUUUAUGUUUAAC
This 217-nucleotide ribosomal RNA is filed under the name Arabidopsis thaliana (thale cress). The record is from RNAcentral. Lineage: Eukaryota; Viridiplantae; Streptophyta; Magnoliopsida; Brassicales; Brassicaceae.